AUGGUGCUUGUUGAAGAAGAUAAAAUAGAGACAACAUUUAUCAUUUUAAGUAAAUGGAAUAUAUUUUUUCAUUCUUGCAGAUUAAUUAAACAGAGCUUGAUCAUCUUAACAAAAGCAGAAGAGAGACACCUUUGUCUUUCAAAGCUAAAAGCAGAAAGAUGUUUGCUGACAGUGCAGGAGGUUUUUGUACGGCCUCUUAAUGAGUUUGUAUCACUGUGGUGGACUUUUGGUGGAGGAACCAAACUCAUCGUUCACUCCGGCCCCAAGGUCAGACCCUCAGUCUCUCUGCUGCCCCCCUCCUCUGAGCAGCUCUCUGGGGGCUCGGCCACGCUGGUCUGCCUGCUGAGUGGCUACUCUCCUCAGGGAGCCGUUGUGAGCUGGGAGGUGGACGGUACCGAGGUGACAGAAGGGGUCCUGACCAGCUCAGAGGAGGAGAAGAGCGGACGUUACAGCAGCAGCAGCACCUUAAGCAUGAGUGAGGAGAACUGGAUGAAAGGAGAGCUGUACUCCUGCAGGGUCCUCCAUCAUGACCACAGCGAGACCCAGACCAUCCAAAGGAGCCACUGUGAGGGACAGAGAGGCUGAUCGAAGCCCUGGACAGGAGCUCUUAGUGGAGAGCAGGAGGAAAACACCUGCUGCUCUCAUCAAUAUGAGUUUGAAUGUCAGGAAGAGAAACUAAAGCUUUGUGUGACGCUGAACAACACUGCUGCAAAACGUUCAUGAAUAACUUCAACUCAUGUGUGGAGCUCAGCAGCUGGAUGUGAGUGAGAUUAAUCUGCUGUGUGCUCUAAUAAAGCUUGCUCUGAUACAUUA
Non-coding RNA from Girardinichthys multiradiatus, 813 nucleotides. Lineage: Eukaryota; Metazoa; Chordata; Actinopteri; Cyprinodontiformes; Goodeidae. The record is from the annotation of a RefSeq genome assembly.